Molecule: long non-coding RNA, 221 nt
Filed under: Lathyrus oleraceus (garden pea)
Lineage: Eukaryota; Viridiplantae; Streptophyta; Magnoliopsida; Fabales; Fabaceae
Description: Pisum sativum (pea) long non-coding RNA (PSAT_LNC014524)
Source: RNAcentral
CAAUUCCCACCAUUCUAUCGAGGUACGAGCCUUGUAAAUUGCCCAUGAACAUGUCUAUCAACUCUCGCUCUAACAACGACGGUUGUACUCUGGCUGCUAACUCCCUCCACCUUUGAGCGUACUCUUUAAAGGUUUCCUCAGACUUUUGUGUUAAAUUCUACAACUGUGUUUGGUUCGGUGCUAUAUUAGUGUUAUACUGAUAGUGUCUGAGGAAAGCUUCG